RNAcentral lists this non-coding RNA (28 nucleotides) under Mus musculus (house mouse). Lineage: Eukaryota; Metazoa; Chordata; Mammalia; Rodentia; Muridae. The record is from RNAcentral.
UAAAGAUGGAACCACACAGUCAGGAACC